UACGAAGGGGGCUAGCGUUGUUCGGAAUUACUGGGCGUAAAGCGCACGCAGGCGGCUCGUUAAAUUAGAAGUGAAAGCCCUGGGCUCAACCCGGGAAUUGCUUUUGAGACUGGCGAGCUUGAAUCCAGAAGAGGGUAGUGGAAUUCCAAGUGUAGAGGUGAAAUUCGUAGAUAUUUGGAAGAACACCAGUGGCGAAGGCGACUACCUGGUCUGGGAUUGACGCUCAUGUGCGAAAGCGUGGGGAGCAAAC
This 250-nucleotide ribosomal RNA is filed under the name uncultured bacterium. RNAcentral describes it as "partial 16S ribosomal RNA". It matches the Rfam family "Bacterial small subunit ribosomal RNA", at positions 524 to 773 of the family's 1533-position model. The record is from RNAcentral.